AACGUAGGAGGCGAGCGUUAUCCGGAUUUACUGGGCGUAAAGCGCACGCAGGCGGUUCCGUUAGUCGGACGUGAAAGCUCCUGGCUUAACUGGGAGAGGUCGUUCGAUACUGCGGGACUUGAGGUUGGGAGAGGGGUGUGGAAUUCCCGGUGUAGUGGUGGAAUGCGUAGAUAUCGGGAGGAACACCUGUGGCGAAAGCGGCACCCUGGCCCACACCUGACGCUGAGGUGCGAAAGCGUGGGUAGCAAACAGGAUUAGAUACCCCCGUAGUCC
RNAcentral lists this ribosomal RNA (273 nucleotides) under uncultured bacterium. Its description in RNAcentral is "partial 16S ribosomal RNA". It matches the Rfam family "Bacterial small subunit ribosomal RNA", at positions 524 to 796 of the family's 1533-position model. The record is from RNAcentral.